UGAGAUCCUGCUCAACUGUCGCACAUCGUAUGACGUCAUCGAUCAGCGCCAAUGUAGUUCUGCGCUGCGCUUCUCUUCAUUGUCGUGUUUUCAAUUACAGUUCACGUCAAUAAAUUGUAAAAGUAUUCUUCGGACAACGCAAACGACUCUUCUUCGCCCAGACUCAGAGGACACGGAGAUAAGUGCCGAUGCCAACGGACGAUUAAUACUUUAAUUCUCACAUUUGGCGCCCAGCUGGAGCUAGUAGCAGAGCCUGCCGUCCAGUCACAUCGGACAUUAUGUGGAAGGCAUUGUGCAGUGUACACCAAGACAUGGACAAGAUGGCGAAACUGGACGUGACUAAAGCGCUGGAGAACUGGAGGUCAACUGGUGGUGGUAGCAGUAACAGAGGAGCUGUGGAACCACACACUUCACAGCAUUUUCCUACAGCCAGUCUAAAGUUUCUAGAACUGUCAGCAUGAUGAGGAUCGCGAGGAGACCAGAAUGCCUGUACACCCUGAGGUGGUUGGAUAUGUACACAUCAAAAACACUAUUUUAAGCAGCUCAGUACAACUAUGCUUGGUAGAGAAAACUGUUACUUGGUAAAAUGUUUUCUGUAUGUUGUGCAAUGAGCAGUAUGUAUCUAAGUGUGUGUGUAUAAAUAUAUAGCUUACAGGUAGUACAGAAUUAUUAAAGUACAGAAUGCAAGUAUGACGGCUACGUCCCACAAUGCACCACAUGGGAUGACGUGCUUUCCCAAGUUCUCUUAAUUGUUUGAUCAACACCAUCUUGUCCUUUUUGUCUUUUGUUGACAGCAGUGAAAUUAAUGUUCAUGCAAAGAAAAUGUUUUUCUGAAGUGGUUUAAACAAUAAGGGACUAAAGAUGGAAAUUAGCUUUGCUAAAGUCAUUCAUAAUUACAUUAUAAAUGUAUAUUAAUAUGCAAAAAAAAUCUAUAGAAACAAUCCUUGUUCCCUUCAGUGACUUAGAAACAUGGGAUUCAUAUGUUUUGAUUUCUGCAAUGAUGUUCCAAUGUUUACAAUCAAAAACUGACAUGUAGGAAAACACACUUGUAAAUGUUUCAGGGUGUGUGCAGAGCACACCUGAAAGUUGGCAAGGUGAUGGAGAAAGUGGUUGAACUGACUGAAGCUGUGGAGAACAGAUUGGCUGCAGGAGCAGUAACAUCAGCGACUCUGCAGCAGAUUCCUACAACCCAUCUCGUGAGGUAAAAAGGAUCCACAGGAGUCUGGAGGAUGGGCACAAAUACAGAGGAAAUGAGAGGUUCACGUCUGAGCACAACUCCGGUGGCACAAAUUCAAUGUUGUGGACAAUUGCAGAUGAAGAGGAAUGUGACACCUCUUUGAUCAGAAGAGCAACAGAUACUUUGAGAACAUCAGGAGGGAAUCUAAGUUGUCAGAAGACAAAGUGGAAGAGGAUCAGAGGGCCAAAGCUCUCAACAACCGAAGACAUAGACUUUUCAAUUCACGCCGAUCUGCUGCUCGCUCAUCUUAACCAAGAAGGAGUACAGAUACCUGGAACGGGCGCCUGCAUGCAUGAUGAGCGACGAGGAGACGGACACUGAAGACAAAGACGUGUGGAAAGCAUGUCCACCUGAAUGGAGGGCAACAAGACUCACGGACAUGUUAGAAAGGUGUCAGCACCACCUCGUUGACCUACAAAAGAUGUCCUCCAGGAUGGUGCACCGGAGAGCGCCCAGUGGUGUAUAGAGCCAGAGGCAGCCGCUGAGAGGAAUCAGAUUCAUUUAUUUGAAAUAAAACUGUGUGCUUUAAUUAAGAAAAAAAGAAAAACAUUGGUCUGUUUUUCAUGUCUGACAUGUUUUCAUUCAGCUAUGCAGUUUUGUAGAUGCACCUGAUUUAUUAGACUGCUUCAUUCUAUUCUGUUCCCACUGUUCAGUUAAUAAUGCUGAUAUUCUUUAUACAGUUUAAUCUGACAAUGUAAUUUUAUAAAUGCUUGCUGAAACAGUAACGUUUAAUUUGGUCAAAUGAUUUGUACAACAUGAUGAUGGUACACAAACCAAGAUUAAAGACUGUCACAUUAUAACUAUGAUUGUGAUGUUUGAAACUGACUGGGUGAUUUUAAUGCCUGCUAAGAUCUUAAAAGA
Molecule: long non-coding RNA, 2098 nt
Organism: Melanotaenia boesemani (Boeseman's rainbowfish)
Lineage: Eukaryota; Metazoa; Chordata; Actinopteri; Atheriniformes; Melanotaeniidae
Exons: 7
Source: RefSeq, a predicted model, not a curated record